GACGAACGCUGGCGGCGUGCCUAAUACAUGCAAGUAGAACGCUGAAGAGAGGAGCUUACUCUUCUUGGAUGAGUUGCGAACGGGUGAGUAACGCGUAGGUAACCUGCCUUGUAGCGGGGGAUAACUAUUGGAAACGAUAGCUAAUACCGCAUAACAAUGGAUGACUCAUGUCAUUUAUUUGAAAGGGGCAAUUGCUCCACUACAAGAUGGACCUGCGUUGUAUUAGCUAGUAGGUGAGGUAAUGGCUCACCUAGGCGACGAUACAUAGCCGACCUGAGAGGGUGAUCGGCCACACUGGGACUGAGACACGGCCCAGACUCCUACGGGGGGCAGCAGUAGGGAAUCUUCGGCAAUGGGGGCAACCCUGACCGAGCAACGCCGCGUGAGUGAAGAAGGGUUUCGGAUCGUAAAGCUCUGUUGUAAGUCAAGAACGGGUGUGAGAGUGGAAAGUUCACACUGUGACGGUAGCUUACCAGAAAGGGACGGCUAACUACGUG
RNAcentral lists this ribosomal RNA (497 nucleotides) under uncultured bacterium. Its description in RNAcentral is "partial 16S ribosomal RNA". It matches the Rfam family "Bacterial small subunit ribosomal RNA", at positions 28 to 507 of the family's 1533-position model. The record is from RNAcentral.